UACAGAGGGUGCGAGCGUUGUCCGGAAUCACUGGGCGUAAAGGGCGCGUAGGCGGUCUUGCAAGUCCCGUGUGAAAUCCCUCGGCUCAACUGAGGAACUGCACGGGAAACUGCUUGGCUUGAGUUCGGGAGAGGGAAGCGGAAUUCCGGGUGUAGCGGUGAAAUGCGUAGAUAUCCGGAGGAACACCGGUGGCGAAGGCGGCUUCCUGGACCGACACUGACGCUGAGUGAGCGAAAGCCAGGGGAGCAAACGGG
Molecule: ribosomal RNA, 254 nt
Filed under: uncultured bacterium
Lineage: Bacteria
Description: partial 16S ribosomal RNA
Rfam family: Bacterial small subunit ribosomal RNA
Source: RNAcentral